Molecule: ribosomal RNA, 253 nt
Filed under: uncultured bacterium
Lineage: Bacteria
Description: partial 16S ribosomal RNA
Rfam family: Bacterial small subunit ribosomal RNA
Source: RNAcentral
UACGAAGGGGGCUAGCGUUGCUCGGAAUUACUGGGCGUAAAGGGCUCGUAGGCGGCCAACUAAGUCCGACGUGAAAUCCCCAGGCUUAACCUGGGAACUGCGUCGGAUACUGGAUGGCUUGAAUUCGGGAGAGGGAUGCAGAAUUCCAGGUGUAGCGGUGAAAUGCGUAGAUAUCUGGAGGAAUACCGGUGGCGAAGGCGGCAUCCUGGACCGGUAUUGACGCUGAGGCGCGAAAGCCAGGGGAGCAAACGGG